UGAUUGAUGGUGCUUGCACCUGAUUGAUUUUGGUCGCCAACGAGUGGCGGACGGGUGAGUAACACGUAGGUAACCUGCCCAGAAGCGGGGGACAACAUUUGGAAACAGAUGCUAAUACCGCAUAACAGCGUUGUUCGCAUGAACAACGCUUAAAAGAUGGCUUCUCGCUAUCACUUCUGGAUGGACCUGCGGUGCAUUAGCUUGUUGGUGGGGUAACGGCCUACCAAGGCGAUGAUGCAUAGCCGAGUUGAGAGACUGAUCGGCCACAAUGGGACUGAGACACGGCCCAUACUCCUACGGGAGGCAGCAGUAGGGAAUCUUCCACAAUGGGCGCAAGCCUGAUGGAGCAACACCGCGUGAGUGAAGAAGGGUUUCGGCUCGUAAAGCUCUGUUGUUAAAGAAGAACACGUAUGAGAGUAACUGUUCAUACGUUGACGGUAUUUAACCAGAAAGUCACGGCUAACUACGUGCCAGCAGCCGCGGUAAUACGUAGGUGGCAAGCGUUAUCCGGAUUUAUUGGGCGUAAAGAGAGUGCAGGCGGUUUUCUAAGUCUGAUGUGAAAGCCUUCGGCUUAACCGGAGAAGUGCAUCGGAAACUGGAUAACUUGAGUGCAGAAGAGGGUAGUGGAACUCCAUGUGUAGCGGUGGAAUGCGUAGAUAUAUGGAAGAACACCAGUGGCGAAGGCGGCUACCUGGUCUGCAACUGACGCUGAGACUCGAAAGCAUGGGUAGCGAACAGGAUUAGAUACCCUGGUAGUCCAUGCCGUAAACGAUGAGUGCUAGGUGUUGGAGGGUUUCCGCCCUUCAGUGCCGGAGCUAACGCAUUAAGCACUCCGCCUGGGGAGUACGACCGCAAGGUUGAAACUCAAAGGAAUUGACGGGGGCCCGCACAAGCGGUGGAGCAUGUGGUUUAAUUCGAAGCUACGCGAAGAACCUUACCAGGUCUUGACAUCUUGCGCCAACCCUAGAGAUAGGGCGUUUCCUUCGGGAACGCAAUGACAGGUGGUGCAUGGUCGUCGUCAGCUCGUGUCGUGAGAUGUUGGGUUAAGUCCCGCAACGAGCGCAACCCUUGUUACUAGUUGCCAGCAUUAAGUUGGGCACUCUAGUGAGACUGCCGGUGACAAACCGGAGGAAGGUGGGGACGACGUCAGAUCAUCAUGCCCCUUAUGACCUGGGCUACACACGUGCUACAAUGGACGGUACAACGAGUCGCGAACUCGCGAGGGCAAGCAAAUCUCUUAAAACCGUUCUCAGUUCGGACUGCAGGCUGCAACUCGCCUGCACGAAGUCGGAAUCGCUAGUAAUCGCGGAUCAGCAUGCCGCGGUGAAUACGUUCCCGGGCCUUGUACACACCGCCCGUCACACCAUGAGAGUUUGUAACACCCAAAGUCGGUGG
This 1395-nucleotide ribosomal RNA is filed under the name Limosilactobacillus fermentum. Its description in RNAcentral is "bacterial SSU rRNA". It matches the Rfam family "Bacterial small subunit ribosomal RNA", at positions 61 to 1433 of the family's 1533-position model. The record is from RNAcentral. Lineage: Bacteria; Bacillati; Bacillota; Bacilli; Lactobacillales; Lactobacillaceae.